Cinara cedri is the source of this 226-nucleotide non-coding RNA. NCBI's taxonomy places the organism in Eukaryota, Metazoa, Arthropoda, Insecta, Hemiptera, Aphididae. The record is from the annotation of a GenBank genome assembly.
GGGUUUUGUAUAAAUUACAGUUCGGUAUCCUAUAGGAAUUUGAGUGUAUUAGUGAUGCCGGAGAUAAGAAUUUCAGAUAAACGGCGAGUUGAAUUGUAUUCCUGGCAUUGUAAUUCGUACUUCCUACAUUCGGUUAAAACGCGUUUGGUCGUCAGAAGAAAAUUACAAGUCGGGCAUAUCGGGAGGAUCUUUUUUCUUCAUUGGGUAGUCAUGAGUUAAUCUGGUA